UACAGAGGUCCCAAGCGUUGUUCGGAUUCACUGGGCGUAAAGGGUGCGUAGGUGGCCGGUUAAGUCUGACGUGAAAUCUCCGAGCCUAACCCGGAAACUGCAUCGGAAACUAUCCGGCUCGAGGGUUGGAGGGGGGACUGGAAUACUUGGUGUAGCAGUGAAAUGCGUAGAUAUCAAGUGGAACACCAGUGGCGAAGGCGAGUCCCUGGACAACUCCUGACACUGAGGCACGAAAGCUAGGGGAGCAAACAGG
This 253-nucleotide ribosomal RNA is filed under the name uncultured bacterium. RNAcentral's name for it is "partial 16S ribosomal RNA". It matches the Rfam family "Bacterial small subunit ribosomal RNA", at positions 524 to 776 of the family's 1533-position model. The record is from RNAcentral.